GUACUCCUACGGGACGCAGCAGUGAGGAAUAUUGGUCAAUGGGCGCGAGCCUGAACCAGCCAAGUCGCGUGAGGGAAGACGGUGCUAUGGAUUGUAAUCCUCUUUUGUCGGGGAGCAAAGCGAACCACGUGUGGUUCAUUGAGAGUACCCGAAGAAAAAGCAUCGGCUAACUCCGUGCCAGCAGCCGCGGUAAUACGGAGGAUGCGAGCGUUAUCCGGAUUUAUUGGGUUUAAAGGGUGCGCAGGCGGAGGUGCAAGUCAGCGGUCAAAUUGCGGGGCUCAACCCCGUACUGCCGUUGAAACUGC
RNAcentral lists this ribosomal RNA (305 nucleotides) under uncultured bacterium. RNAcentral describes it as "bacterial SSU rRNA". It matches the Rfam family "Bacterial small subunit ribosomal RNA", at positions 333 to 636 of the family's 1533-position model. The record is from RNAcentral.